AUUGAACGCUGGCGGCAGGCCUAACACAUGCAAGUCGAGCGGAUGAAGGGAGCUUGCUCCUGGAUUCAGCGGCGGACGGGUGAGUAAUGCCUAGGAAUCUGCCUGGUAGUGGGGGAUAACGUCCGGAAACGGGCGCUAAUACCGCAUACGUCCUGAGGGAGAGAGUGGGGGAUCUUCGGACCUCACGCUAUCAGAUGAGCCUAGGUCGGAUUAGCUAGUUGGUGGGGUAAAGGCCUACCAAGGCGACGAUCCGUAACUGGUCUGAGAGGAUGAUCAGUCACACUGGAACUGAGACACGGUCCAGACUCCUACGGGAGGCAGCAGUGGGGAAUAUUGGACAAUGGGCGAAAGCCUGAUCCAGCCAUGCCGCGUGUGUGAAGAAGGUCUUCGGAUUGUAAAGCACUUUAAGUUGGGAGGAAGGGCAGUAAGUUAAUACCUUGCUGUCUUGACGUUACCAACAGAAUAAGCACCGGCUAACUUCGUG
RNAcentral lists this ribosomal RNA (484 nucleotides) under uncultured bacterium. Its description in RNAcentral is "partial 16S ribosomal RNA". It matches the Rfam family "Bacterial small subunit ribosomal RNA", at positions 30 to 507 of the family's 1533-position model. The record is from RNAcentral.